Long non-coding RNA from Hippocampus comes (tiger tail seahorse), 3281 nucleotides. RefSeq lists it as uncharacterized. The record is from RefSeq and is a predicted model, not a curated record. The transcript is spliced from 3 exons. Lineage: Eukaryota; Metazoa; Chordata; Actinopteri; Syngnathiformes; Syngnathidae.
AUUCACAAGCGUCUCCUACAACACGAUUGAAAAUUAACUCAGAUUUAUUUUACAUUGUUGAGCAGCAGCGUGCUGUGUGCUGGAGCAGUGAAAGUGGAAUUGCUUUAUCCCGUUGUUUUUAUGAUUUUGUUUGGACUUAUUUUCACUUCAUGGCAGUUUCAUUUAUUAAUAUGAUUGUAUUUUGUAUGAAUUUCCCAAAUUUCCCCUCACGGAAUGAAUAAAGUAUAUUUGUAUUUUUAUCAUUGUGGAACACGAAUACCGUUUACUGGUACAAUAAAAUGUUCUUCUGCGCGUACAUACACGUAUUUAUACAUUCCAUUGUGUUAAAUUUAAAUCAAAACGCUUGUUUGAAAUCGGGUUGUUUGAAGUGUGUCCAUGUUUGAUGACGUCAUGAAUUUUAAUCGCGCGAGAACUUGACACUACCGCGGACCCCGUUGACGCUGCUAGCAUGUUAGCCUCCACAGAAAAAUUAAGCUGGUGCACAAACAUAGAACGUAAUCAAGCGUCUUGCAAUAUCAUUCGGCAAGCUCCCGGCGGGUGUCCGGGAUCUGUGGUGGAGUAGCUUUAGCGUGCAUCGCCAUGAUGGAUCGAGCAGUGUGGAUCAUGGAGAAACAAAAAGGUGGCGGGAUAGCUUGCAGCGACUCCUAAAUGGGUCGCUGCAGCCAAUAGGUGGAGCUAAAGGACCGCAGAAACAAGUCGCGAAUGACUCAUUCGCCACCAAAUCACCACAGCAACAAGCUGGAGCGGAGCGCAGUGGUUACAGCCCACGGCCAUGCGUCAUACUUUCAACAAUUUUUGUGGAAAUUCUUGAUGAUACAGUGGCGACAUUCAGCAGUACCAUUGCCAGGCCUUGGCCACUGUAACCUCAGGGUUACGAGGCCCCAUUGGCAUGUCACACAAUGCUGCUGCAUUUGCAUCUCAAACCAGGAGGAUGCUGCAAGACUCACAAGCUAUUUCUGUUAAACAUACACAGGUAAUGCAAUUUUAACGACAGUGCCUAUAAUGGUAUAAGAUGGGAUGGUAUUGCGCAACAGUUCCUCCCUGGAGCCUUAAGAUAUACAAACUGCUGACUUAAGUUACACGGAAAAUAGGGUGCACAUUAAUUUUGAAUGACAGCCUUUUCAUCCAUAAUAACACACAGCAUAAAAUUUUAGCAUUGUAUUUAGUUCGACCAUCUCACUCACCUUUUUAAGGGCAAGGGUGUAUUCCUGUGUCAUUUGUUUGUAUGCAAGGCUAUGAUGCUUUUGAGAUAAAUAAAUACAUAUCAGCUAAAAUCGCCAUCAUUUUGUUUCAGUUGAGCAGCUGAAAGACCAUCAUGUAAGAGAUCAGCAAACUAGAAUGUUAAAGAAGAUACAAAAGGGAAGCAUGCGUUUCUAGCAAAUCACCAAUAAUAAUAACAGGUAGUAAAAAAACACUUAGACUGAACAUUUGACUGUGCUCACAUUGUUUGCAUUCUGCAAUCAUUUGUUUUGGAAAGAAGGAAACAUAAUGUAAUUACCUGUUUAAAUACACUUGUUAAACGGAUGGAGCCUGAGGUCAAUUGUCGAUAAUAUUAGGAGCAUUUUGCCUCUUAAAUUGCACAAAACUCACACAACUGGCUCAGCAAGUAUCAUUGAAUGAAUUCAAAAUAAGAGCUUGUUUUUAAUCUUUCCCCAAAUAAACCCUCAACCAGGGAGUGAUAAGAAGACAUUCGAAGCCAUCUAUUUUUGAUCGUCUCCCUAAUAUUCUGAUGCUCUCCUGUGCACCUUCUGAUAUGUGGGCGGGAGUUGCUGCAAUCCCAGCUGCUGCGUGUCCGGUCAGCGGUCCGCCACUGGAACAGCUGAGAGCUUGUGAUGUCACCAGAUUGCCAACUGCUCAAGGGCAGGCGGGCACAGAGUGCGACUCUCUAUGUGUGCAAUGUGACAGCGUGGACAUGAGGCCGGGAUGGCGCUACGCCCCCAGGGAGAAAGGGACGCAUCAGUUGCUCCCUUUAUUAGUCGACGGGUCGAAAUAAGGCGAUGGUAGGAGGCUGUUUAUGUGACAGGCCUUCGGUUCUCAAAACUUUUUUACACCCCAAAAAAUACCUCUCGAAGUUUCACUAACCUGACCAACAGUAAAAUUAAGUGGUGUAGCAGGCCUAAGUUUUCAUCAAAAAAAUGAGGCUGAAGUAACCUGCCACUAAUUCAACACUACUAUAAUUAACACCAAAGUUACGACAAAGUUACAUUUGCCCGAAUUUGUUUAGACACGGAAUGGCUCCCAUUGGGUGUAGCUUAAAGUCGACUGGUAAUGCAUAAAUGGCAGCAAUCCGUUAUCGAUACCUCCCGCAAUUUUCUCUCGGCAAAGAUGCCAUGUCGUUGAAACCACGCUGUCAUCUGCUCGUGAGAUUUUUCGCCCUCAUCAGAACAACUGCUUGACUCCCACACAUUGCAGCAGCUGUAGUUAUAUUCAGAUUGUGACCUCAACCGUGCGUUCUCCAAAUAUGUGUAACCUCCGUUCGUGUGAGCUUUGGGGGAUUUUUUUACAGUGAGUGGUGGUUUUUGGCCAGUGUGCAAAACGCACCCUUCCUGUAGUCAAAGGAGGAUGUCGAUGAGCAGAACUGCAGGCAAAGUUGAGUUCAACUCUUUUUUUUUUUUUUUUUUGUGUGUGUGUUGCUUUUGUGUGGACGAGGUGCAAUUAUACAUGGCUCCAUGGAAUGAUGGGAGUCUCUCUGAUCCGCCCUGCGUUUCAGUCUGCUGAAGACAAGUGUGGACAUGUAACCCCCCCCCUUGAAAGAGAAGUCUACAGUCGAAACACUGUUUUUGUACACACUGUGGUAUACAUUUCAGGAAGAGAUUAGACACGAUCCAUCUAAUCUUGUUGCAAGACUUACUCAAGGGGUCUCGUCUGUCUGUCGUAAAGGGUACUUAGGAAUUUAAAAAACAAACGGCCACACUUCAUCUUACUAAAUGGACUCUCACACUAUUCGAUAAUUGUAUAGCACCAUAUUGUGUUAAAUGUUUCCCACUCAGCGUCCAUUAGCCUGUUCAUCCUGGAUGGGGAUUCCCCCCAUCUGCGACCCCUUCUCAAGGUUUCUUAUUUUUCCCCAGAUGGGGGGUUUUAUGAGUUUUUCCUUGCCCUCCUGUGGGGUGAAGAUCAGGGUGUGUCGUUAAUAUUCGUCAGCUGCGGACUUGUGAAGCCCUUCGAGACUCUUUUGUGAUGAAGGGCGCGGCAUGGCACUUGGCAAGACAGCCUGCAUUGAGCCAUCCCCCGCAUCGCACGACAAGCUCAGCGCAGAGGGCAGGGCGACCGGCUCUGAAUAU